AUUGAACGCUGGCGGCAUGCCUUACACAUGCAAGUCGAACGGCAGCACGGGAGCAAUCCUGGUGGCGAGAGGCGAACGGGUGAGUAAAGUAUCGGAACGUGCCCAGUCGUGGGGGAUAACGUAGCGAAAGUUACGCUAAUACCGCAUACGGUCUAUGGAUGAAAGCGGGGGAUCGCAAGACCUCGCGCGAUUGGAGCGGCCGAUAUCAGAUUAGGUAGUUGGUGGGGUAAAGGCUCACCAAGCCGACGAUCUGUAGCUGGUCUGAGAGGACGACCAGCCACACUGGGACUGAGACACGGCCCAGACUCCUACGGGAGGCAGCAGUGGGGAAUUUUGGACAAUGGGCGAAAGCCUGAUCCAGCCAUGCCGCGUGCAGGAUGAAGGCCUUCGGGUUGUAAACUGCUUUUGUACGGAACGAAAAGGUUUGGGCUAAUAAGCUGAGCUCAUGACGGUACCGUAAGAAUAAGCACCGGCUAACUACGUGCCAGCCGCCGCCGUAA
RNAcentral lists this ribosomal RNA (500 nucleotides) under uncultured bacterium. RNAcentral's name for it is "partial 16S ribosomal RNA". It matches the Rfam family "Bacterial small subunit ribosomal RNA", at positions 30 to 523 of the family's 1533-position model. The record is from RNAcentral.